UACAGAGACUGCGAGCGUUAUUCGGAUUCACUGGGCGUAAAGGGUGCGCAGGCGGCCGUGUGUGUGAGGCGUGAAAGCCCGGGGCUUAACCCCGGAAUUGCACCUCAAACUAUACGGCUAGAGCAUUGGAGAGGGUAGCAGAAUUCAUGGUGUAGCAGUGAAAUGCGUAGAUAUCAUGAGGAAUACCAGAGGCGAAGGCGGCUACCUGGACAAUUGCUGACGCUCAGGCACGAAAGCGUGGGGAGCAAAAGGG
This 253-nucleotide ribosomal RNA is filed under the name uncultured bacterium. RNAcentral's name for it is "partial 16S ribosomal RNA". It matches the Rfam family "Bacterial small subunit ribosomal RNA", at positions 524 to 776 of the family's 1533-position model. The record is from RNAcentral.